GACGAACGCUGGCGGCGUGCCUAAUACAUGCAAGUCGAGCGCAGGAAACUGACGGAACUCUUCGGAGGGAAGGCAGUGGAAUGAGCGGCGGACGGGUGAGUAACACGUAAGGAACCUGCCUCAAGGAUUGGGAUAACUCCGAGAAAUCGGAGCUAAUACCGGAUAGUUCAACGGACCGCAUGGUCCGCUGAUGAAAGGCGCUUCGGCGUCACCUUGAGAUGGCCUUGCGGUGCAUUAGCUAGUUGGUGGGGUAACGGCCCACCAAGGCGACGGUGCAUAGCCGACCUGAGAGGGUGAGCGGCCACGCUGGGACUGAGACACGGCCCAGACUCCUACGGGAGGCAGCAGUAGGGAAUCUUCCACAAUGGACGAAAGUCUGAUGGAGCAACGCCGCGUGAGUGAUGAAGGUUUUCGGAUCGUAAAACUCUGUUGUAAGGGAAGAACACGUACGAGAGGAAAUGCUCGUACCUUGACGGUACCUUACGAGAAAGCCACGGCUAACUACGUGCCAGCCGCCGCCGUAA
Molecule: ribosomal RNA, 524 nt
Filed under: uncultured bacterium
Lineage: Bacteria
Description: partial 16S ribosomal RNA
Rfam family: Bacterial small subunit ribosomal RNA
Source: RNAcentral